RNAcentral lists this ribosomal RNA (500 nucleotides) under uncultured Chlorophyta. Its description in RNAcentral is "SSU rRNA". It matches the Rfam family "Eukaryotic small subunit ribosomal RNA", at positions 1270 to 1795 of the family's 1831-position model. Lineage: Eukaryota; Viridiplantae; Chlorophyta. The record is from RNAcentral.
AUGGGUGGUGGUGCAUGGCCGUUCUUAGUUGGUGGGUUGCCUUGUCAGGUUGAUUCCGGUAACGAACGAGACCUCAGCCUGCUAAAUAGUCACUGUCGCUCCGGCGGCUGGCCGACUUCUUAGAGGGACUAUUGGCGUUUAGCCAAUGGAAGUAUGAGGCAAUAACAGGUCUGUGAUGCCCUUAGAUGUUCUGGGCCGCACGCGCGCUACACUGACGCGUUCAACGAGCCUAUCCUUGACCGAGAGGUCCGGGUAAUCUUUGAAAACGCGUCGUGAUGGGGAUAGAUCAUUGCAAUUAUUGGUCUUCAACGAGGAAUGCCUAGUAAGCGCGAGUCAUCAGCUCGCGUUGAUUACGUCCCUGCCCUUUGUACACACCGCCCGUCGCUCCUACCGAUUGGGUGUGCUGGUGAAGUGUUCGGAUUGGCGAGAGGCGGUGGCAACACUGUCUCCUGCCGAGAAGUUCAUAAACCAUCCCACCUAGAGAAGAGAAGUCGAUCAUC